AUAAGCUUAGAAUACUAACUCUUAAGUUCUAGUUACAGAAGUUAUAAGAAUAUUUGUUUCUCGUGUUUAUAUAUAUAUAUAUAUGUUCUUCAUGAGGUUUAGAGUGGAUAAUAUUCCAUACAAAGCUAUUUGUUGAUCACAACACUCCUUUCCGAAGGAAAAACUCCAUUAUAUAACAACAUCAACUCACAGAAUCCAUCUUCUGCAUCAGAUACAUGCAUCACAGAUCAAGUCUUGCAGAGUUUUAUCCUAUAAGCUUAUGUAUCUUUCUUGAUGUUCAUCAACAUAACUCCAUAUGGUAAGAUUGAUUACUCCAAAAUGUGACUUAGACAAAAUGUGACAUGUUAAGCCUUUCAUCUAUUACUGUUCUGUCCUGAGAAAAUUGAUUUAGGAAAUAAUCUAUACCAAAUGUGGUCCAAGAUUGAACGUCCAAGUUAAGCAACCCUUACAACACCAGAGCAUUUUAUAGAUGAACGUCCAAGAAUAUGCAGUAAUCUCAGGACAAACAAUCAACUUCACAAAAUUUUCUAUUUCGAACAAAACUGAAACUGUCAAAUGUUCUGGUGGAACUCAAAUUACUUCAUUAUAAAGAAGAAUAGAUGGGUAUUAUAGAGAAAAAUGUCAAAACAAAGACGAGAAGGCAGGCUUUGAUUGCAAGAUAUAGAAUGCUUCAAUGAUGCGUUGUUAUUAGCUAAACAGAGAAUCAUACUAACAUUGUUUCAUCAAAAGUAGUUUCGAGUACUACUUUGGAAGAAGUAACAAGUAACAAACCCUCUUUUUGAAUGACCUCACACCAAAAAUGGUCAUUACUAAGCUACAACAGAUAAUUGGAUUGAGAGCUCAUACCUAACUUGGAGAACACACUAAUUCCUCAUGAUCCAAUGAUGUACGAUUCUUCCACUGUCCCUUCGCAGAAACACACAGGGGUUGGACCACAUGAGACAUCAUCCCAAAAUCAUGAAAGUCAUUGUUAAAAUUCAUCUUACAUAACUAUUAAUAUUAACCAUCUGAUUUUCAAUCAAAUAUUGUGGUUACAAAGACAAAAUGCUAAUUCUUACAUAACUAUUAAUAUUAACCAUCUGAUUUUCAAUCAUAUAAAGACAAAAUGCUAAUUCAACACGACUAG
Molecule: long non-coding RNA, 1126 nt
Filed under: Arabidopsis lyrata
Lineage: Eukaryota; Viridiplantae; Streptophyta; Magnoliopsida; Brassicales; Brassicaceae
Description: long non-coding RNA (ALYR_LNC000913)
Source: RNAcentral